UUAAAUUAUUAAGGGCGUAUGGUGGAUGCCUUGGCAUUAGAAGACGAUGAAGGACGCGACAAACAGCGAUAUUGCUUCGGGGAGUUGUAAGUAAACUUUGAUCCGGAGAUCUCCGAAUGAGGAAACUCACCCAUUAGGGUAUCAUAAAGUGAAUACAUAGCUUUAUUGAAGUCAACCCCGUGAACUGAAACAUCUUAGUAGCGGGAGGAAAAGAAAGAAAAAUCGAUUGCCUGAGUAGUGGCGAGCGAAACGGCAACAGCCCAAACCAGUCUUAGGACUGGGGUUGUAGGACACUAAUAUACGGAGUUACCAAGUUUUAUGAUAGCAGAACACUUUGGAAAGAGUGACCAUAGAAAGUGAUAGUCUUGUAUGCGAAAUCAUGAAACCUCUAUAGUGUAUCCUGAGUACGGCGGGACACGAGAAAUCCUGUCGGAAUCUGUGGGGACCAUCCCAUAAGGCUAAAUACUCUCUAAUGACCGAUAGUGAACAAGUACCGUGAGGGAAAGGUGAAAAGAACCCCGGAAGGGGAGUGAAAUAGAGAAUCUGAAACCAUAUGCUUACAAAAAGUUCGAGCCCAUUAACGGGUGAGAGCGUGCCUUUUGCAGAAUGAGCCGGCGAGUUAUGGUAUUGUGCAAGGUUAAGUGGAAAACACGGAGCCGAAGCGAAAGCGAGUCUUAAUAGGGCGAUUUAGUACAAUGCUGUAGACCCGAAACCGAGUGAUCUAGCCAUGAGCAGGCUGAAGUUGGGGUAAUACCCAAUGGAGGGCCGAACCAGGGUACUAUGUAACGUGCUUGGAUGACUUGUGGCUAGUGGUGAAAUUCCAAUCGAACUCGGAUAUAGCUGGUUCUCCCCGAAAUAGGUUUAGGCCUAGCCUUGAAUUAUUUCAUCCUGGAGGUAGAGCACUGAAUAUGGAAUGGCCGCGUCUAGCGGUACUGACUGUAAUCAACCUCCGAAUGCCAGGACUUGUAGAUUCAGGAGUCAGUGUAUGAGGUGAUAACGUCCAUACGCGAGAGGAAAACAAUCCAGACCAUCAACUAAGGUCCCUAAAUAUAUGUUAAGUGGGAAAGGAUGUGGAGACGCACGAACAGCUAGGAGGUUGGCUUAGAAGCAGCCAUCCUUUAAAGAGUGCGUAAUAGCUCACUAGUCGAGUAUCUCUGCGCCGAAAAUGUACCGGGGCUAAACAUAUUACCGAAGUUAUGGAUUUAUAAUUUAUUAUAAAUGGUAGGGGAGCGUUCUAAGGGCGCUGAAGGUAGAUCGUGAGGACUACUGGAGCGCUUAGAAGUGAGAAUGCCGGUGUGAGUAACGUAAGGUAGGUGAGAAUCCUACCCACUAUUUGACCAAGGUUUCCAGGGUCAAGUUCGUCUUCCCUGGGUUAGUCGGGACCUAAGGCGAGGCUGAAAAGCGUAGUCGAUGGACAACAGGUUUAUAUUCCUGUACUACUUAUAGGACUGAUGGAGUGACGGAGAAAGCUAGGAAGAGCCAGUUAUUGGAUUCUGGUCUAAGCGUUUAGGUUGAUGCACAGGAAAAUCCGUGAUAUCGAUAAGACUGAAGCGUGAUGGCGACGUGGUCUACGGACCGCUAAGUCUUUUGAAGCUAUGCUUCCAAGAAAAACUUCUAAAGAUAUGUUAUAAGUACCCGUACCUAGAACCGACACAGGUGGUCAAGGAGAGAAUCCUAAGGUGAGCGAGAGAACUAUGGUUAAGGAACUCGGCAAAAUUACCCCGUAACUUCGGAAUAAGGGGAGGUUUCUUCGGAAACCCGCAGUGAAUAGGUCCAGGCAACUGUUUACCAAAAACACAGGUCUCUGCUAAAGCGUAAGCUGAUGUAUAGGGGCUGACGCCUGCCCAGUGCUGGAAGGUUAAGAUGAUUUGUUAGGUGGACGAAAGUCGAUAACACCGAAGCUUUGAUUUGAAGCCCCAGUGAACGGCGGCGAUAACUAUAAUCGUCCAAAGGUAGCGAAAUUCCUUGUCAGGUAAGUUCUGACCCGCACGAAAGGCGUAAUGAUCUGGACGCUGUCUCAACCAUAGACUCGGUGAAAUCUUAAUACCUGUGAAAAUGCAGGUUACCCGCGACAGGACGGAAAGACCCCAUGGAGCUUUACUGUAGCUUGAUAUUGAAGUUAGGUGAUUUAUGUAGAGGAUAGGUGGUAGACUGUGAUGUAUGGACGCCAGUUCAUACGGAGUCGCCCUUGGAAUACCACCCUUAAAUCAUUUGACCUCUAACUUACUCCCGUUAUCCGGGAGGAGGACAGUGUCUGGUGGGCAGUUUGACUGGGGCGGUCGCCUCCC
RNAcentral lists this ribosomal RNA (2288 nucleotides) under human gut metagenome. RNAcentral describes it as "bacterial LSU rRNA". It matches the Rfam family "Bacterial large subunit ribosomal RNA", at positions 1 to 2291 of the family's 2925-position model. The record is from RNAcentral.